GAUGAACGCUGGCGGCGUGCCUAACACAUGCAAGUCGAGCGGCAGCGAGGGGUGCUUGCACCCUGUCGGCGAGCGGCGGACGGCUGAGUAACGCGUGGGAACGUGCCCCAAAGUGAGGAAUAACUGCCCGAAAGGGUAGCUAAUACCGCAUAUUAUCUUCGGAUCAAAGGAUUUAUCCGCUUUGGGAGCGGCUCGCGUCGGAUUAGGUAGUUGGUGAGGUAAUGGCUCACCAAGCCGACGAUCCGUAGCUGGUCUGAGAGGAUGACCAGCCAGACUGGAACUGAGACACGGUCCAGACUCCUACGGGAGGCAGCAGUGAGGAAUCUUCCACAAUGGGCGAAAGCCUGAUGGAGCAACGCCGCGUGUAGGACGAAGGCCUUCGGGUUGUAAACUGCUUUUAUAAGUGAGGAAUAUGACGGUAACUGAUGAAUAAGGAUCGGCUAACUACGUG
This 451-nucleotide ribosomal RNA is filed under the name uncultured bacterium. RNAcentral's name for it is "partial 16S ribosomal RNA". It matches the Rfam family "Bacterial small subunit ribosomal RNA", at positions 28 to 507 of the family's 1533-position model. The record is from RNAcentral.